GAUGAACGCUGGCGGCGUGCCUAAUACAUGCAAGUCGAGCGAACGGACGAGAAGCUUGCUUCUCUGAUGUUAGCGGCGGACGGGUGAGUAACACGUGGAUAACCUACCUAUAAGACUGGGAUAACUUCGGGAAACCGGAGCUAAUACCGGAUGAUAUUUUGAACCGCAUGGUUCAAAAGUGAAAGACGGUCUUGCUGUCACUUAUAGAUGGAUCCGCGCUGCAUUAGCUAGUUGGUAAGGUAACGGCUUACCAAGGCAACGAUGCAUAGCCGACCUGAGAGGGUGAUCGGCCACACUGGAACUGAGACACGGUCCAGACUCCUACGGGAGGCAGCAGUAGGGAAUCUUCCGCAAUGGGCGAAAGCCUGACGGAGCAACGCCGCGUGAGUGGUGAAGGUCUUCGGAUCGUAAAACUCUGUUAUUAGGGAUGAACAUAUGUGUAAGUAACUGUGCACAUCUUGACGGUACCUAAUCAGAAAGCCACGGCUAACUACGUG
This 497-nucleotide ribosomal RNA is filed under the name uncultured bacterium. Its description in RNAcentral is "partial 16S ribosomal RNA". It matches the Rfam family "Bacterial small subunit ribosomal RNA", at positions 28 to 507 of the family's 1533-position model. The record is from RNAcentral.